RNAcentral lists this ribosomal RNA (477 nucleotides) under uncultured bacterium. RNAcentral describes it as "bacterial SSU rRNA". It matches the Rfam family "Bacterial small subunit ribosomal RNA", at positions 30 to 501 of the family's 1533-position model. The record is from RNAcentral.
AUUGAACGCUAGCGGGAUCCCUACACAUGCAAGUCGAACGGCAGCGCGGAUUCGGUCUGGCGGCGAGUGGCGAACGGGUGAGUAAUGUAUCGGAACGUGCCUAGUAGCGGGGGAUAACUACUUCGAAAGAGUAGUAAUACCGCAUACSCCCUACGGGGGAAAGGGGGGGAUCGCAAGACCCUCUCACUAUUAGAGCGGCCGAUAUCGGAUUAGCUAGUUGGUGAGGUAAAGGCUCACCAAGGCGACGAUCCGUAGCUGGUUUGAGAGGACGACCAGCCACACUGGGACUGAGACACGGCCCAGACUCCUACGGGAGGCAGCAGUGGGGAAUUUUGGACAAUGGGGGAAACCCUGAUCCAGCCAUUCCGCGUGUGCGAUGAAGGCCUUCGGGUUGUAAAGCACUUUUGSCAGGAAAGAAAUCGCACGGGUUAAUAACUCGUGUGGAUGACGGUACCUGCAGAAUAAGCACCGGGUAAA